AUGUACCCACAUGUCUGCUCCAAAGAAUUGGUUAUGGAAAGAAAAGGGAGUACAGUGGAGUUGGGUUCAUGCCUAAUGGACGACCAAUCGUUCCUGCUACUCCAGCUUCCCGCCUCCCAGCUUGAAUUGGUGCUGCCACUACGGCCAGCAAGCAUCCGCCGCCAAGAUUCAUGCAUGGCUGCUUCGCGUACGCCAACACGCCCUGUCUUACCACCGGCAUGCUGCUGCUCAUCCUGCCGUCUACACGCCCUGUCUUACCACCGGCAUGCUGCUGCUCAUCCUGCCGUCUACACGCCCUUGCAGAUUCAGUGCACCGGGAGAAGAAAAAUCAAUGAAAAAUAG
RNAcentral lists this ribosomal RNA (342 nucleotides) under Triticum aestivum (bread wheat). Its description in RNAcentral is "partial small subunit ribosomal RNA". Lineage: Eukaryota; Viridiplantae; Streptophyta; Magnoliopsida; Poales; Poaceae. The record is from RNAcentral.